This 76-nucleotide small RNA is filed under the name Xanthomonas arboricola. Its description in RNAcentral is "sRNA sX9". It matches the Rfam family "Xanthomonas sRNA sX9". The record is from RNAcentral. Lineage: Bacteria; Pseudomonadati; Pseudomonadota; Gammaproteobacteria; Lysobacterales; Lysobacteraceae.
AUGUACCACGCGUACCCUCCGAUUCCUCCGCGACGUCCGCGCUUUACUGACGACUACACGCUCCGUGCUGCUGGCC